UACGUAGGGUCCGAGCGUUGUCCGGAAUUACUGGGCGUAAAGAGCUCGUAGGUGGUUUGUCGCGUUGUUCGUGAAAACUCACAGCUCAACUGUGGGCGUGCGGGCGAUACGGGCAGACUAGAGUACUGCAGGGGAGACUGGAAUUCCUGGUGUAGCGGUGGAAUGCGCAGAUAUCAGGAGGAACACCGGUGGCGAAGGCGGGGAUCUCUGGGCAGUAACUGACACUCGAACUACGAAAAGCCGUGGGGAGCAAAACAGGG
RNAcentral lists this ribosomal RNA (260 nucleotides) under uncultured bacterium. RNAcentral's name for it is "partial 16S ribosomal RNA". It matches the Rfam family "Bacterial small subunit ribosomal RNA", at positions 524 to 777 of the family's 1533-position model. The record is from RNAcentral.